UACGAAGGGGGCUAGCGUUGUUCGGAAUCACUGGGCGUAAAGGGCGCGUAGGCGGCGUUUUAAGUCGGGGGUGAAAGCCUGUGGCUCAACCACAGAAUGGCCUUCGAUACUGGGACGCUUGAGUAUGGUAGAGGUUGGUGGAACUGCGAGUGUAGAGGUGAAAUUCGUAGAUAUUCGCAAGAACACCGGUGGCGAAGGCGGCCAACUGGACCAUUACUGACGCUGAGGCGCGAAAGCGUGGGGAGCAAACAGG
This 253-nucleotide ribosomal RNA is filed under the name uncultured bacterium. Its description in RNAcentral is "partial 16S ribosomal RNA". It matches the Rfam family "Bacterial small subunit ribosomal RNA", at positions 524 to 776 of the family's 1533-position model. The record is from RNAcentral.